CACCUGGUGGAUGACUAGGCUCGGUUGCCGAAGAAGGUCGUGCCAAGCAGCGAUAUGCUUCGGGGAGGCGCAUGGAGCCUUUGAUCCGAAGAUAACCGAAUGGGACUUCCUGAACUCUAGUAGUUCAAUCCGUAAGGAUGGGAAACGCCCCGAAUUGAAACAUCUUAGUAGGGGCAGGAAAAGAAAUCAAAUGAGAUGGGGUUAGUAAAGGCGAUCGAACACCCCAUAGGGCAAUCCGAAUCCUCUGGUGAGAACCUGAGGAAAUGUGGAGUGGUCUGUUUACAUCUUAACACUGUUAUCCGAAUUUCGUGUGGAACACCGGCGCCAUAGAGGGUGAUAGCCCCGUAGGAGAAGCGGUGAAAGAUGAUUUUCAGAAUCCAAGAGUAGCGUGCAUUGGAUAUUGCGCGUGAAUACGGGAGGUACUAACUCCCAACCCUAAAUACAAACCGAGACCGAUAGCGCAAUAGUAGCGUGAGCGAAAGUUGUAAAGUAUCCCUGGCGGGAACUGGUAUGGCGUGCAAGGGAUGAAGCGGUUACACCGCCGCACCGACGUCAUGCCGUUCGAUUCGAAAAUUGAUCCGUGGAGUUCCUAUCAUUGGCGAGGUUAAGUACGCAGGUACGAAGCCGUAGGGAAACCGAUAGCCCGCAGCGCAAGCGAGGGGCAAGGUGCGCUCGCCUGGAGUCAAUGGUUGGAUACCCGAAGCCGGUCGAUCUAUGCCUGGGCAGGGUGAAGCCUUUCGGAAGAAGGGUGGAGGCCCGAACCAGUACUGAUGUGCAAAUCGUUUGGAUGACCUGGGUAUAGGGGCGAAAGACCAAUCUAGACCGGU
This 827-nucleotide ribosomal RNA is filed under the name Methanobacteriota archaeon. Its description in RNAcentral is "Euryarchaeota archaeon partial 23S ribosomal RNA". It matches the Rfam family "Archaeal large subunit ribosomal RNA", at positions 19 to 921 of the family's 2987-position model. The record is from RNAcentral. Lineage: Archaea; Methanobacteriati; Methanobacteriota.